AUGCACUAUAAACAAUCUCCCGUGCCCAUUGGUAGCGAAACCCUAGAAUUGAAUCGAGGCACCGGUGGCGGCAGCGGCGGCGAGCGAGCGAGCGAAAAAGAAAUCGAGGAUAAGGCGAGGGAAGAGGCAAUCAUGUCCCUCCGACGGGCCGUCGGUUUCCUCCUCACACGGAGGCUCUCGUCGCGGGUGAUCCCAAGGACGGCUCCUGCACGCUCUUUCCACUCCUUGAAGGAUCUCCCCAUCGGCGGCGCUGCUGGUGUGGCCGCGGCUGCGUUUGCUGGUGUCGGAGCCUUGGCGGCAGUUCAGUAUUUCAGGAAAGGCUCAGAUGAUGAUGAGCCAGCUACUCGCAAGAAAGGGGAGUUCAUCUAUAUAUAUAAAGAGGAGGAGAUGGAAGAGUUGUUUGAGAAUUGGAUCAAGGAGUUCAACAAGACAUACCGAGACAAGAAAGAGAAGGCUAUGCGGUUCCAAGUGUUCAAGGAAACCAUGAAGUGGAUCGAAUCACAGCCCCCAUCUUCCCAUAAGUCUUUGUUUCCAGGAAACUGUUUUGCAGACUUAAAAAGCGAGGAGCUUCCGUGCAGCCAGUCCUGUAUCCAUGGUUUAGAUGACCCAAACAGCGAAGAGUACCGCGAGAACAAGUUUGUCACUGAGAAUGUGAAAGGAGAAGCAAUCAUAUGGAAGCCAGCCGUGAAGCAGGGCCACAAGCAGGCAACUCAAGUCUCUGCCUACAAACGAUAUCCGGUGCAACUUUUCUUAGCUCCUAGUGUGUCCAAUGAUCAUAAUGAUUAUUGCUGA
This 792-nucleotide ribosomal RNA is filed under the name Triticum aestivum (bread wheat). RNAcentral describes it as "partial small subunit ribosomal RNA". Lineage: Eukaryota; Viridiplantae; Streptophyta; Magnoliopsida; Poales; Poaceae. The record is from RNAcentral.